AUGACCCUUAAAUGGUGCUCAGCCACCAUCCGAUUUCGAGGGAGAAUAGGAGACCCCGACGAAAAUGAGCGUCCUAGCAGCGAACCCAAGGAUGCCGGUGAUUACGGCAGGUCCAUGCUCCUGUUCUUCUAUUGGGCUACGCCCCCAAUGGUGAAAAUCCCCUACAGAAUGGUGCUGGAUGUCCUUUUAGAAUCUUUGGGCCUGCCAGUGGCUGAGUAUCGAACCAAAGCAUGCGACCUCUUUGAAGUGCAGCACCAUCCUACCCCCUUUGGCCCUUCCCGUCCAGUUUUGCCUCACCAUGUAAGCAUCCAUCUGCUCCUCCUCUAG
Molecule: ribosomal RNA, 327 nt
Filed under: Triticum aestivum (bread wheat)
Lineage: Eukaryota; Viridiplantae; Streptophyta; Magnoliopsida; Poales; Poaceae
Description: partial small subunit ribosomal RNA
Source: RNAcentral